Molecule: non-coding RNA, 195 nt
Filed under: Daejeonella lutea
Lineage: Bacteria; Pseudomonadati; Bacteroidota; Sphingobacteriia; Sphingobacteriales; Sphingobacteriaceae
Source: RNAcentral
UACAUUUGCGUCGCUUUAGGUUCCCGAUUUCACGAUCGGGAUUAAAAGGGAACCGGGUUAGAAUCCCGGACAGUCCCGCUGCUGUGUUCUCCACAACGGUUAUCCAAUUUAAUGGUCACUGUUCGCCCCAGGCGGAUGGGAAGGCCGGAUAAACCGGGAGUAAGUCAGAAGACCUGCCUUAGCUUAACAAUUCAU